Molecule: non-coding RNA, 72 nt
Organism: Pangasius djambal
Lineage: Eukaryota; Metazoa; Chordata; Actinopteri; Siluriformes; Pangasiidae
Source: the annotation of a GenBank genome assembly
UCCCUGGAUGGCUAGUGGUUAGGCCACAGUGCUCUCACUGCUGUGGUCCAGGUUUGAUCCCUGGCUAGGGAA